AAUACCGCAUUAUAUCUGUGGAUUAAAGGUGGCUUUCGGGCUGUCGCAGAUGGAUGAGCCUGCGUUGGAUAAGCUAGUUGGUGGGGUAAGGGCCCACCAAGGCUACGAUCCAUAGCUGAUUUGAGAGGAUGAUCAGCCACAUAGGGACUGAGACACGGCCCAAACUCCUACGUGAGGCAGCAGGGGGGAAUAUAGGACAAUGGGGGCAACCCUGAUCCAGCAAUGCCAUGUGUGUGAA
Molecule: ribosomal RNA, 238 nt
Filed under: Francisella tularensis subsp. holarctica
Lineage: Bacteria; Pseudomonadati; Pseudomonadota; Gammaproteobacteria; Thiotrichales; Francisellaceae
Description: partial 16S ribosomal RNA
Rfam family: Bacterial small subunit ribosomal RNA
Source: RNAcentral